This 474-nucleotide ribosomal RNA is filed under the name uncultured organism. RNAcentral's name for it is "partial 16S ribosomal RNA". It matches the Rfam family "Bacterial small subunit ribosomal RNA", at positions 330 to 796 of the family's 1533-position model. The record is from RNAcentral.
CGUACACUCCUACGGGAGGCAGCAGUGGGGAAUUUUGGACAAUGGGCGAAAGCCUGAUCCAGCCAUGCCGCGUGCAGGAUGAAGGCCUUCGGGUUGUAAACUGCUUUUGUACGGAACGAAACGGCCUUUUCUAAUAAAGAGGGCUAAUGACGGUACCGUAAGAAUAAGCACCGGCUAACUACGUGCCAGCAGCCGCGGUAAUACGUCGGGUGCAAGCGUUAAUCGGAAUUACUGGGCGUAAAGCGUGCGCAGGCGGUUAUGUAAGACAGUUGUGAAAUCCCCGGGCUCAACCUGGGAACUGCAUCUGUGACUGCAUAGCUAGAGUACGGUAGAGGGGGAUGGAAUUCCGCGAGUAGCAGUGAAAUGCGUAGAUAUGCGGAGGAACACCGAUGGCGAAGGCAAUCCCCUGGACCUGUACUGACGCUCAUGCACGAAAGCGUGGGGAGCAAACAGGAUUAGAUACCCCUGUAGUCC